Molecule: ribosomal RNA, 405 nt
Filed under: uncultured bacterium
Lineage: Bacteria
Description: partial 16S ribosomal RNA
Rfam family: Bacterial small subunit ribosomal RNA
Source: RNAcentral
GACGAACGCUGGCGGCGUGCUUAACACAUGCAAGUCGAGCGGAGCGGCGAACGGGUGAGUAACGCGUGAGUAACUGCCCCCCUCUCUGGGAUAACAGUUGGAAACGGCUGCUAAUACCGGAUAGUGGGGGAUGACUCGCGUCCUAUCAGCUUGUUGGUGGGGUAGUGGCCUACCAAGGCGACGACGGGUAGCCGGCCUGAUCGGGCGACAUGCCACCAUGGGCUUGGAUACGGCACAAACUCCUACGGUAGGCAGCAGUGGGGAAUAUGGCACAGUGGGGGAAACCCUGAUGCAGCAACGCCGCGUGCGGGAGGACGGCCGUCGGGUUGUAAUCCGCUUUCAGCCAUGAAGCGGUAGUGGCAGAAGAAGCACCGGCUAACUACGUGCCAGCAGCCGCGGUAAUUC